Sphaeramia orbicularis (orbiculate cardinalfish) is the source of this 5936-nucleotide RNA transcript. It is a transcript of the gene named ATPase phospholipid transporting 11B, with no coding region annotated. The transcript has 32 exons. The record is from RefSeq and is a predicted model, not a curated record. NCBI's taxonomy places the organism in Eukaryota, Metazoa, Chordata, Actinopteri, Kurtiformes, Apogonidae.
AGCAGAGAUGUAGCGUAGCUCGCUGGGACUCUGUGGUGUCCGCCGUCUGUCACUUUUCCCGGAGAUCAUUUAUCAGACACUACCGCGGAAUGGAAAAGGCCGGAUUUUAUUUUUCUACAGCCGCACAGUGUAAAAGCGCCGCGUAAUGCGACCAGAAGAGUUGCCUUUAGGGGGAAAUAUUUAUGGUUUGGGACGGUUUUGUUGGAGUAGCUAGUUGCUAGCGCUGAGCUAGCGACUGCGCUGGCUACUUCGAACGUAUUUUGCAAGGAUGCUACGGUGGAUACGACAGCAGCUGGGCUUUGAUCCCCCCCAUCAAAGUGAAACCAGGACGGUUUAUGUAGCAAACCGUUUCCCCCAGCAUGGCCACUACAUACCACAGCGCUUUGCUGACAACAGAAUCAUCUCAUCCAAGUACACAAUUUGGAAUUUUGUCCCCAAGAAUCUAUUUGAGCAAUUCAGAAGGAUAGCCAACUUCUAUUUUCUCAUUAUCUUCCUUGUACAGUUAAUGAUAGACACCCCAACUUCCCCAGUCACCAGCGGUCUGCCUCUCUUCUUUGUGAUCACAGUAACUGCCAUAAAACAGGGCUAUGAGGAUUGGCUGAGACACAAGGCAGACAAUGAAGUUAACGGGGCUCCAGUGUUUGUGGUUCGCAGUGGAAGUCUGGUCCAGACAAGGUCCAAGAACAUCAGGGUGGGAGACAUUGUUCGUGUGGCUAAAGACGAGACGUUCCCAGCUGACCUGGUGUUGCUGUCAUCGGAUCGUGCAGAUGGAACCUGUCAUAUCACCACAGCCAGCCUGGAUGGAGAGACCAACCUGAAGACCCACUACUCUGUGGCAGAAACAUCAGUGUGCCAGUCAGUUUCCCAACUGGAGGCUCUGCAGGCCGUGGUGGAGUGUCAGCAACCUGAAGCUGAUCUUUACAGGUUUGUUGGUCGGAUUACAGUGACUCAGCACGGGGAGGAGAUAGUCAGGCCACUGGGUCCAGAGAAUUUGCUGCUGCGAGGAGCCAGGUUGAAAAAUACCAAAGAAAUUUUUGGUGUGGCAGUUUACACAGGGAUGGAGUCCAAGAUGGCCCUGAACUACAAAUGCAAGUCCCAGAAGCGUUCGGCAGUGGAAAAGUCAAUGAAUACUUUCCUCAUCAUCUACCUGGGCAUCUUGCUGUUCGAGGCUGUCCUGAGUACCAUCCUAAAGUAUGCCUGGCAGGCUGAGGAAAAAUGGGACGAACCUUUCUACAACCAGAAGACUGAACAAGAAAGAAACAGCAGUCCGAUCUUAAAGUUCAUCUCAGAUUUCUUGGCGUUUCUGGUCCUCUACAAUUUCAUCAUCCCCAUCUCGCUCUAUGUUACUGUGGAGAUGCAAAAGUUCUUGGGCUCCUUUUUCAUUGGCUGGGAUUUGGACCUUUACCACGAAGAGAGUGACCAGAAAGCUCAGGUCAACACCUCUGACCUCAAUGAGGAGCUGGGGCAGGUGGAAUAUGUGUUUACUGAUAAGACGGGUACCUUAACGGAAAAUGAAAUGCAGUUUCGUGAGUGUUCCAUUAAUGGAACCAAAUACCGGGAGGUUAACGGCAAAUUGGUACCAGAGGGAGUGACUGAUGAUUCACCCGACGGUUCAACACCUCACUUGAUCGGUGAGGAAUUGUUAUUUCUCAAGGCGGUGUCAUUGUGCCACACGGUUCAGAUAAGCUACGACCAGCCAGACUGCCUGGUUGGGGGAGGGGACCCAUUUUCCCAUGUAAACGGUUUCUCCACCAGUCACAUGGAAUACUACGCCUCUUCACCUGACGAGAAAGCUUUGGUAGAGGCUGCAAAGAGGAUUGGAGUAACCUUCACCAGCUGCAGUGGAGAUACUAUGGAAAUAAAAACAUUUGGGAAGUCCGAAAAAUAUAAACUGCUCCAUGUAUUAGAAUUUGAUGCUAACCGCAGGAGGAUGAGUGUCAUACUACAGACUCCCUCAGGAGGUCAGGUAAUGUUCACUAAGGGAGCAGAGUCAGCCAUCUUGCCUUUCACCACCAGUGGAGAGAUAGAGAAGACGAGAUUGCAUGUAGAUGAGUUUGCCUUGAAAGGUUUGCGGACCCUGGUUGUAGCAUGUCGCCACUUUAGCCCAGAGGAGUACAUUGAUGUGGACAGGCGUCUGAAUUCUGCCCGUACUGCGCUGCAGCAGAGAGAGGAGAGGCUGCAGGAAGCCUUCAGCUACAUUGAGAGAGACCUGCAGCUCCUGGGAGCAACUGGGGUGGAGGACAAACUCCAGGACAAAGUCCAGGAAACCAUUGAGGCUCUCCGGCUAGCAGGGAUCAAAGUAUGGGUCCUGACAGGGGACAAACAUGAGACAGCAGUAAGCGUCAGCCUGUCCUGUGGCCACUUUCACCGAACCAUGAACAUCCUGGAGCUCCUGCAGCAGCGCUCUGACAAUGAGUGUGCAGAGCAACUCCGCAGACUAGCUAGAAGGAUAAAGGAGGACCAUGUCAUACAGCAUGGCCUGGUCGUGGAUGGGGCCAGUCUGUCGUUAGCACUGAGGGAACACGAGAAGCUCUUUAUGGAAGUGUGUAAAAACUGUUCCGCUGUGUUGUGCUGCCGCAUGGCCCCUCUGCAAAAAGCCAAGGUGGUGCGUCUUUUAAAAACAUCUCCAGAGAAACCCAUUACCUUAGCAAUUGGGGAUGGAGCCAAUGAUGUCAGCAUGAUACAAGAGGCCCACGUUGGCAUAGGUAUCAUGGGGAAAGAAGGUCGUCAGGCCGUGAGAAACAGUGACUAUGCAAUUGCCAGGUUCAAGUUCCUGGCUAAACUCCUACUGGUCCACGGUCACUUCUACUACAUUCGGAUAGCGACGCUUGUACAGUACUUUUUCUACAAGAAUGUGUGUUUUAUCACGCCCCAGUUUUUAUACCAGUUCUUCUGUCUGUUUUCACAACAAACUCUGUACGACAGUGUUUAUCUGACACUGUACAACAUCUGCUUCACCUCGCUGCCCAUCCUGGUGUACAGUCUGUUUGAACAGCUGGUCCAUCCACACAUAUUACAAAGUAAACCUGCCCUGUACAGGGACAUCAGCAAAAACUCCUUGCUAUCCUUCCGAACUUUUCUGUACUGGACCUUGUUGGGCUUCUGUCAUGCCUUCGUCUUCUUCUUCGGAUCGUACAUAUUGAUGGGAGAGGACACCACCCUCAUGGGCAACGGACAGAUCUUGCGAGCUAACAGGCAGCUGAUGUUUGGGAACUGGACCUUUGGAACGCUGGUUUUUACAGUUAUGGUCAUCACUGUCACAUUAAAGCUUGCAUUGGAGACUCAUUUCUGGACGUGGAUGAACCAUUUUGUGACAUGGGGCUCAAUUGCCUUUUACUUCAUCUUCUCUCUCUUCUAUGGUGGUAUCAUCUGGCCAUUCCUCCACACCCAGGACAUGUAUUUCGUCUUCGUGCAGCUGCUGUCCAGUGGCUCUGCCUGGUUUGCCAUCAUCAUCAUUGUCAUAACUUGCCUGUUUCCUGAUGUGGUGAAGAAGGUCUUCUAUCGACAUCUGCAGCCCACCAGCACCCAGAAGAGUCAGAUGUAUUCCAACCGCGUGGCGAUAGGUGAUGACUUCAUCGCUCUGCAGCCUCUGUCCAGAGCCAAGAGCCAGCUGGGCAAAAUUAGUCUCUAUCAGCCACCCAGGCGCAGACCCUCAGCUGUGUGGAGUCCCUGUGCUGCUACCAACAUGGGCAGAGCGGCUGUUCCCGCCUGGCCCGCCUCCUGGAGCAAAUGACCGGCCAGUGCCAGGCCAGCGCCAGCCACUGUCACUCGUCCAGCCGCAACAACAGGUCUUGGAGCGACACAGAGAACUACUCCAACGAUCGCAGCAUCCUGACGCUGUCGCCCAUCGAGGCCACCCACUGCUGACUCCCAGAGCCGCUGACUGUAACAAACACACAGUCAUAUUCGCCACUCGCCCUCUCACACACCGACUACGGUCCAAACGGGACGCACUUUCAGCUGGAUGCAAAGCAGACAGAAAUGGAAACCAUCCUGUCGUCGUAGAAACCAAAGGACUUAACGCUCAGUGCAGCGGGCGCUUGAUCCGUAACUCUUCUGGGAGUCACAUUCUUGGAAGAAAACGGUCGUGAAGGAACUGUAGCAUGAAGCCAACAUAUGUGGAAGCAUCAUCUGAGCAGCAGCAUUCAUCGACGUCCUGCUGUUUACACUUUGUCGCAUAAUCAGAGAUUCAGUAACUUUAAAAAGUGUCUUAAAAAGCCGAAGGAGUUAUUUUAAGUGUAAGGCUUUAUGAGUCAGCGUCAGCUCUGCACAGUUACAUGAACCUUCACACAAAUACUUUCUUCUUCACUGUAUUACCUUUGCCAAACAUUUUUCAAUAUAGCAGACAUCGAAGCACAGGUCAGACCAAAGAUUCAUAAGAAGUGACUGUUUUUGGACGUUUUAGCAAUGUGGAGGGAUCUGUCUUAAGUGUUUCCUAAGAUUCGAGAAAACCACUAGUGGAUCGCUUAACUUUUUUUUUUUUUUUCCCUUUGGGUUUAGGGGCUGUAGCUCAGCUGUCACCGGCCCCGAUCAUGUGUUUUUCCCCUCACUGAUAGAAGUCUUGCCCCUUCUGGUGUGCCUCAUGGAGCCUAAUUUUGGUAAAAAAUCGAUGAAUGGCAACAGACAAGCAACUUUCUGAUCCUGUUUGGUUUGUGCCACCAUUUACAUAUAUGAUGUGGAAUUCAAAAUAUACUUUUAUGAGUCAAGAAAGUUGCAGUUGGUGAUGAAGAAACCUCGGUGCACAUGAUGAAUGUCAGAAACACCAAAAAAGUGAUUUUUUUCUCACUAUAUUUCACCUCAUUCUUGUGGAAAGUGAACAUUACAAUGACAUUACUUCCUCAACCUUGGGGUGUGUAGUCUAUAGGUAUUUUCACAAUAUGAGACUUAUAAUUUUACAACAAGCUGUGACUUUCUCCAUUUGUAAAAUUAUCUUUUGAACCAUCAAAUAUUAUGUGUAAAUGAUGGUAUAAAUCAAACAGAAUCAAAAAGUACUGGUCUCUCACCUUUGACUACAGUACUUUUUUUUCCCAAAAUGAGGUCAGAUGAGACACAAUAGGAAGGUACAAUAUUGGACUUUAUUUUUUUUUUCUACUAGUAUAUUUUUUUAUUUUCAAAGAAAAUAAUCCCUCUACAACAAAUAAUUAAUAAUAAAUAAUACGGUAAAUAAUAAUACAAACAAUAAUACAGGUGUGAAACAGGCUGCAGUACUUUUUUUUUUUUUUUUUCAAAAUGACGUUAGCUGGGCUAACCCAACGCCUCUAAAUGACAGAAGUCCUCCAAGGACAGUCAGGAGUUAUUCCAGACUCUUUCAUAUUUUAUGCUUGUGUUCUUUCAUCAGUACUACAGAUGCAACUGGACUCAUUCAUAUUUUAAGACGCUACAUAUCAUAUACAGCUAUAAAAGGAGCUGUCACUUAGAAGUUGAGUACUGAACAUUAGAACGUUGCAGACAAGUGAUUCCACAUAGAUCUGAGCUUCAACUUGUCUCAUUGUGAAUCUUUGGUCUGAUCUGAACUUAGAGGACCAGUGUGUAAGAUUUAAGAUCACCAGCCCGUGUGUGGUUUGUCCAUGAAGGGCUACUGUAGAAAGAACUUCAUUAAUCUGUAGAUCUUAAGGGCUCUUUCAAAGGGAUUUCUAGUUAUAGAUUGUUAUACACAAAUUACAAUAUAUUAUGUUCCAUUUCUGCAAAUACUCUCCCUAAAUCUUACAUACUGGUCCUUAAAAUGACCAUUUGAAGUCAUAUAUAUGCAUAAGAUUAAAAUUCAUAUUAAUAUACACAUAUUCAGAUUUAACUAGUUCCUUGUUAGCGAAGAUAUAGACUCUUUAUUUAUCAUCAUAAAAAACUUAUCAAUGCCUUCCUCUGACCAUAGUCUACAACUAAUAGACCAUUAACCUUUUAGUUUAACCUCAGUAAAAUGCUGUUUGUUGAUGGUAAGU